GACGAACGCUGGCGGCGUGCUUAACACAUGCAAGUCGAACGAAGAGCGACGGAAGCUUGCUUCUAUCAAUCUUAGUGGCGCACGGGUGAGUAACGCGUAAUCAACCUGCCCUUCAGAGGGGGACAACAGUUGGAAACGACUUCUAAUACCGCAUACGAUCUAACAUCGGCAUCGAGGAUAGAUGAAAGGUGGCCUCUACAUGUAAGCUACCACUGAAGGAGGGGAUUGCGUCUGAUUAGCUAGUUGGAGGGGUAACGGCCCACCAAGGCGAUGAUCAGUAGCCGGUCUGAGAGGAUGAACGGCCACAGUGGGACGGAGACACGGCCCAGACUCCUACGGGAAGCAGCAGUGGGGAAUCUUCCGCAAUGGACGAAAGUCUGACGGAGCAACGCCGCGUGAGUGAUGACGGCCUUCGGGUUGUAAAGCUCUGUUAAUCGGGACGAAAGGCCUUCUUGCGAAUAGUGAGAAGGAUUGACGGUACCGGAAUAGAAAGCCACGGCUAACUACGUG
This 510-nucleotide ribosomal RNA is filed under the name uncultured bacterium. Its description in RNAcentral is "partial 16S ribosomal RNA". It matches the Rfam family "Bacterial small subunit ribosomal RNA", at positions 28 to 507 of the family's 1533-position model. The record is from RNAcentral.